This 253-nucleotide ribosomal RNA is filed under the name uncultured bacterium. Its description in RNAcentral is "partial 16S ribosomal RNA". It matches the Rfam family "Bacterial small subunit ribosomal RNA", at positions 524 to 776 of the family's 1533-position model. The record is from RNAcentral.
UACGUAGGGUCCGAGCGUUGUCCGGAAUUACUGGGCGUAAAGAGCUCGUAGGUGGUUUGUCGCGUUGUUCGUGAAAACUCACAGCUUAACUGUGGGCGUGCGGGCGAUACGGGCAGACUGGAGUACUGCAGGGGAGACUGGAAUUCCUGGUGUAGCGGUGGAAUGCGCAGAUAUCAGGGGGAACACCGGUGGCGAAGGCGGGUCUCUGGGCAGUAACUGACGCUGAGGAGCGAAAGCGUGGGGAGCGAACAGG